AUGGUGUCAUCCCUCCUGUGACC
RNAcentral lists this microRNA (23 nucleotides) under Prunus persica (peach). RNAcentral describes it as "microRNA miRNA_314". The record is from RNAcentral. Lineage: Eukaryota; Viridiplantae; Streptophyta; Magnoliopsida; Rosales; Rosaceae.